This 441-nucleotide ribosomal RNA is filed under the name uncultured bacterium. Its description in RNAcentral is "partial 16S ribosomal RNA". It matches the Rfam family "Bacterial small subunit ribosomal RNA", at positions 338 to 795 of the family's 1533-position model. The record is from RNAcentral.
CCUACGGGAGGCAGCAGUGGGGAAUAUUGCGCAAUGGGCGAAAGCCUGACGCAGCGACGCCGCGUGUGGGAAGACGGUCCUCUGGAUUGUAAACCACUGUCCCCAGGGACGAAGAUGACGGUACCUGUAUAAGCAGCCCCGGCUAACUCCGUGCCAGCAGCCGCGGUAAUACGGAGGGGGCGAGCGUUGUUCGGAGUGACUGGGCGUAAAGAGCACGUAGGUGGUGUUGUAAGUCAUUAGUCAAAGACUAGAGCUCAACUUUAGUAAGGCUAGUGAUACUAUAAUACUAGAGUAUCAGAGAGGGUUGCAGAAUUCCUGGUGUAGCGGUGAAAUGCGUAGAUAUCAGGAGGAAUACCGUUAGCGAAGGCGGCAAUCUGGCUGGAAACUGACGCUGAGGUGCGAAAGCGUGGGUAGCAAACAGGAUUAGAUACCCGUGUAGUC